RNAcentral lists this ribosomal RNA (493 nucleotides) under uncultured bacterium. RNAcentral's name for it is "bacterial SSU rRNA". It matches the Rfam family "Bacterial small subunit ribosomal RNA", at positions 30 to 521 of the family's 1533-position model. The record is from RNAcentral.
AUUGAACGCUGGCGGAAUGCUUUACACAUGCAAGUCGAACGGUAGAGGGGGCAACCCCUUGAGAGUGGCGAACGGGUGAGUAAUAUAUCGGAACGUGCCCAGUCGUGGGGAUAACGUAGCGAAAGUUACGCUAAUACCGCAUACGAUCUAAGGAUGAAAGCGGGGGAUCGCAAGACCUCGCGCGAUUGGAGCGGCCGAUAUCAGAUUAGGUAGUUGGUGGGGUAAAGGCUCACCAAGCCAACGAUCUGUAGCUGGUCUGAGAGGACGACCAGCCACACUGGAACUGAGACACGGUCCAGACUCCUACGGGAGGCAGCAGUGGGGAAUUUUGGACAAUGGACGCAAGUCUGAUCCAGCCAUUCCGCGUGCAGGAUGAAGGCCCUCGGGUUGUAAACUGCUUUUGUACGGAACGAAAAGGUUUCUAUUAAUACUAGGAGCUCAUGACGGUACCGUAAGAAUAAGCACCGGCUAACUACGUGCCAGCAGCCGCGGU